CCCUUAGAUGUUCUGGGCUGCACGCGCGCUACACUGAUGCGAUCAACAAGUUUUUCCUAUGUCGAUAGACACGGGUAAUCUUUUGAACUCGCAUCGUGAUGGGGAUAGAUUAUUGUAAUUAUUAAUCUUCAACGAGGAAUUCCUAGUAGGUGCAAAUCAUCAGUUUGCAUCGAUUACGUCCCUGCCCUUUGUACACACCUCCCGUCGCUGCUACCGAUUGGUUGAUCUGGUGAAUUAUUCGGACUGCCGGCUGAAGGGGUUUCCUCAUCUGCCAGCGGAAAGUCUUGUUAACCCUAUCAACUAGAGGAAGCAGAAGUCGUAACA
RNAcentral lists this ribosomal RNA (324 nucleotides) under uncultured eukaryote. RNAcentral describes it as "partial 18S ribosomal RNA". It matches the Rfam family "Eukaryotic small subunit ribosomal RNA", at positions 1470 to 1796 of the family's 1831-position model. The record is from RNAcentral.